This 45-nucleotide non-coding RNA is filed under the name Schistosoma bovis. The record is from RNAcentral. Lineage: Eukaryota; Metazoa; Platyhelminthes; Trematoda; Strigeidida; Schistosomatidae. RNAcentral also lists the same sequence under 1 other name.
AUCCAGCUGACGAGUUUCAAAUAGAACAAAACGCACUUCCUGGAU